RNAcentral lists this ribosomal RNA (490 nucleotides) under uncultured bacterium. RNAcentral describes it as "partial 16S ribosomal RNA". It matches the Rfam family "Bacterial small subunit ribosomal RNA", at positions 30 to 507 of the family's 1533-position model. The record is from RNAcentral.
AUUGAACGCUGGCGGCAGGCCUAACACAUGCAAGUCGAACGGUAACAGGAAGAAGCUUGCUUCUUUGCUGACGAGUGGCGGACGGGUGAGUAAUGUCUGGGAAACUGCCUGAUGGAGGGGGAUAACUACUGGAAACGGUAGCUAAUACCGCAUAAUGUCGCAAGACCAAAGAGGGGGACCUUCGGGCCUCUUGCCAUCGGAUGUGCCCAGAUGGGAUUAGCUAGUAGGUGGGGUAACGGCUCACCUAGGCGACGAUCCCUAGCUGGUCUGAGAGGAUGACCAGCCACACUGGAACUGAGACACGGUCCAGACUCCUACGGGAGGCAGCAGUGGGGAAUAUUGCACAAUGGGCGCAAGCCUGAUGCAGCUAUGCCGCGUGUAUGAAGAAGGCCUUCGGGUUGUAAAGUACUUUCAGCGGGGAGGAAGGGAGUAAAGUUAAUACCUUGUCUCAUUGACGUUACCCGCAGAAGAAGCACCGGCUAACUCCGUG